RNAcentral lists this transfer RNA (66 nucleotides) under Myomenippe fornasinii. RNAcentral's name for it is "tRNA-Gly". It matches the Rfam family "tRNA". Rfam says of the family: Transfer RNA (tRNA) molecules are approximately 80 nucleotides in length. Their secondary structure includes four short double-helical elements and three loops (D, anti-codon, and T loops). Lineage: Eukaryota; Metazoa; Arthropoda; Malacostraca; Decapoda; Menippidae. The record is from RNAcentral.
AUUUUCUUAAUAUAAUUUAGUGUAUCUGACUUCCAAUCAGAAAGUUUAGGCUUCCUAAAGAAAAUA